This 228-nucleotide long non-coding RNA is filed under the name Canis lupus familiaris (dog). RNAcentral's name for it is "lncRNA (ENSCAFG00845022475.1)". Lineage: Eukaryota; Metazoa; Chordata; Mammalia; Carnivora; Canidae. The record is from RNAcentral.
AUGACAUUUUUAUUGCAGGUUUUGACCUUUAGGAGAGAGCCAAUUCUGGAGAACAACCUAACUUCUUUGAUUGAACAUUCACAUAAUGCAUUGGAACAUGAUAGGAGAUUAAGGUUUAAUGAUAGAAUGAAGACCAUAAUAGAACAGUUCCCCUACGUAGCCCAGCAAUUCUUAUGUUGCCUGUAUUUUGACACUGCCACUAUGUCCCCUCCAAAAGGUGAGAACUGA